This 433-nucleotide long non-coding RNA is filed under the name Ananas comosus (pineapple). Its description in RNAcentral is "long non-coding RNA (ACOM_LNC014475)". Lineage: Eukaryota; Viridiplantae; Streptophyta; Magnoliopsida; Poales; Bromeliaceae. The record is from RNAcentral.
GUAGAUGACAUUUUUUGUUCUAGAAAAAUUACUCUUGAUUUUUUUUUUUUUUUUGAAAGAUACUUAGCUGAAAAUGUGAAUCAACUUAGAUUUGAAUUUGAGAUCUCGAAUACUAAUCAUCAGGUGUUUUGACACUUACUCUAGGGACGGAUCCGUAAGAAGUUAAAAAAAAUUAGAGAGAGGAAUAGAAAGAUGGGUUAUUUACAUACACGUCUCUAUAAACAUAGUGAAUUGCAGAAAUAUUCCUGCAAAACAGAAACUCCAUAAGUUGUUCCUGCAAAAGUCUAAAGUUAUGCAGAUAUGUCCCUGCCGUUAAGGACGGUUAGAAAAUUUUCGCUAACCACGGUUAAAAUACUUAACUAUGGUUAAUUAUAACGUGAAUUUACGGUUCUACCCUUCUUCUUCUUCUUCCUCCUCUUCUUUUUCCCUCUUC